RNAcentral lists this ribosomal RNA (490 nucleotides) under uncultured bacterium. Its description in RNAcentral is "partial 16S ribosomal RNA". It matches the Rfam family "Bacterial small subunit ribosomal RNA", at positions 28 to 507 of the family's 1533-position model. The record is from RNAcentral.
GAUGAACGCUAGCUACAGGCUUAACACAUGCAAGUCGAGGGGAAACGCUGAGAGAGCUUGCUCUCUUAGGCGUCGACCGGCGCACGGGUGAGUAACGCGUAUCCAACCUACCCAUUACAGGGGGAUAACCUUGCGAAAGUAAGACUAAUACCCCAUGGCAUUUUAUGGUGGCAUCAUUAUAGGAUUAAAGAUUUGUUGGUAAUGGAUGGGGAUGCGUCUGAUUAGCUUGUUGGCGGGGUAACGGCCCACCAAGGCAACGAUCAGUAGGGGUUCUGAGAGGAAGGUCCCCCACAUUGGAACUGAGACACGGUCCAAACUCCUACGGGAGGCAGCAGUGAGGAAUAUUGGGCAAUGGGCGAGAGCUUGAACCAGCCAAGUAGCGUGCAGGAUGACGGCCCUAUGGGUUGUAAACUGCUUUUAUAGGGGAAUAAAGUGAGCUACGUGUAGUUUAUUGCAUGUACCCUAUGAAUAAGGACCGGCUAAUUCCGUG